CAUAGGCAUGUGCACGCCCGAGCUCGUUUCAUCCACCAACACCUGUGAACCUGAAGUGGAUCUCCACGAAGUGGGUGAUCCAUGCACUUCAUCAGCCACGUAUGUCUUUGAAUGUAAUAUAGAAAGGCCUCUUUUGAGGCAUAAUCUACAUAACUUUCAACAACGGAUCUCUUGGCUCUCGCAUCGAUGAAGAACGCAGCGAAAUGCGAUAAGUAAUGUGAAUUGCAGAUUUUCAGUGAAUCAUCGAAUCUUUGAACGCACCUUGCGCUCCUUGGUAUUCCGAGGAGCAUGCCUGUUUGAGUGUCAUUGAACCAUCAACCUCUGGUCGAUUUUUUGAUCGAUGGAGGCUUGGACAUUGGAGUGUGCUGGCCUGAUCAAGGUCGGCUCCUCUCAAAUGCAUCAGCAGAAGCUUUGGGCCUUUGUUGCUCCCCUGUCUUUUGGUGUUCGGUGUGAUAGCCAUCUCGCCGUCACCGUGCAAGGGGGUUGGACCUGGCAUUUUCUGCUCACAAUGGUCCCUGUGGACAAACUUCUAUCCGUUUUGACCUCAAAUCAGGUAGGACUACCCGCUGAACUUAAGCAUAUCAAUAAGCGGAGGAAAAGAAACUAACAAGGAUUCCCCUAGUAACUGCGAGUGAAGCGGGAAAAGCUCAAAUUUGAAAUCUGGCGGUCUCUGGCCGUCCGAGU
This 684-nucleotide ribosomal RNA is filed under the name uncultured Atheliales. RNAcentral describes it as "eukaryotic LSU rRNA". The stretch from base 152 to 306 matches the Rfam family "5.8S ribosomal RNA". The record is from RNAcentral. Lineage: Eukaryota; Fungi; Basidiomycota; Agaricomycetes; Atheliales.